This 240-nucleotide long non-coding RNA is filed under the name Capsicum annuum. RNAcentral describes it as "long non-coding RNA (CANN_LNC015580)". The record is from RNAcentral. Lineage: Eukaryota; Viridiplantae; Streptophyta; Magnoliopsida; Solanales; Solanaceae.
GUCUAUAUAAUUGUCAUUAAUGAAAUGUUCUUCCUCAUUUUCUAAUAAGAGUCUAACGUAGAAACUCAAAAACCAGCCACUAAAAGGAAUAAACAAACACUUAAGUGCAAAAAUCAUCAACUAAAGAAAGAGGAGAUGAAGUAGAAACACUAAGAAGAUUGCAUUGAAAGUAAAGGAUAGAUAAUGAGAUAUUCACCAACAUUCAUGAGAAGCACUAAAGUGUUUAUUAAACACUUAAAC